Phascolarctos cinereus (koala) is the source of this 1770-nucleotide long non-coding RNA. The record is from Ensembl. Lineage: Eukaryota; Metazoa; Chordata; Mammalia; Diprotodontia; Phascolarctidae.
AUGUGUCUGAGGCCAGAUUUGAACUCAGGUCCUCCUGAAUCCAAGGCUGGUGCUCUAUCCACUGCACCACCUAGCUGCCCCCUCUUUCUCUAUAUCUCUCACUCUGUUUUGGACCAUCUCCUGCUUUUUUCUCUUUCUCUCUCCCUUUGUCUCUACUUCUCUCUCCCUUACUCUCUUUCUGUGUAUCUCUCUUGCCUCUUUUCUUUUUCCUUUUAUCACUCUUUCCACCUUUUCUGUGUCUUUCUCUGCCUCUCUCUUUCUCUUUCUUCCUCUUUCUCUCUAUCUCUAUUUCUCUUUCCUUUUUUCUCUCUCCCCUGGUCUUUCUCUCCUCCCUCUUUCUCAUUUUCUCUUUCUGUGUGUAUCUCCCCCCGUCACUUUCUCUAUUUCCCUUUCUCUACCUCUUUCUGUAUCUCCUCUAUUUUUUUCACUUUUUUCUCUUUCCCUCUUUCUCUAUCUUUCACAUUCUCUCUCUUUUCUCUCUAUCCCUUUCCCUUUUUGUCUCUCUCUCCUUCACUUUCUCUCUGUCUCCCUUUUUUGCUUUCUCCAUCUCUCUCUCUGUCCUAUUUCUUUCUCUCACUGUCAAUUUGUCUGUCUUUCUCUCUCCUGCCACUGUGUGUCUCUCUCUCUGUUUCUUUCUAUCUCCCACUCUUUUUUGCUCUCUCUCUCUCUCCCUCCUUCUCACUCUCUGUCUCUCUCAUUCUCUUUCACUUUUUCUUCCUUUCUCUCCCUCUGUUUCUGUCUCUCACUCUUUCUUGCUUUCUCUCCCUCUUUCUCACUCUCUGUGUCAUUCUCUUUCAGUGUUUCUUUCUUUCUCUCCCUCUGUUUCUGUCUCCCACUCUUUUUUCCUCUGUCUCCACCUUCUUACAUUUGGUCUCUUUCAUUCUCUUUCAUUAUUUCUUUCUUUCUCUCCCUCUCUUUCUCUCUCUCUCCGACUCUUUUUUACUCUCUCUCCCUCCUUCUCACCCUCUGUCUCUCUCAUUCUCUUUCACUCUUUCUUUGUCUCCCUGCUUCUCUCUCCCACUCUUCUUGCUCUCUCUCCCUCCUUCUCACUCUCUCUCUCUCUCUCUCAUUCUCUUUCACUGUUUCUUUCUUUCUCUCCCUCUAUUUCUCUCUCUCCCUCCUUCUCACUCUCUGUGUCUCUCAUUCUCUUUUAGUAUUUCUUCCUUUCUCUCUCUCUGUUUCUGUCUGUCUCCCACUCUUUUUUGCUCUCUCUCCCACCUUCUCCCUCUCUGUCUCUCUCAUUGUCCUUCACUGUUCCUUUCUCUUUUUUCUUUCUCUCCCUGUUUCUGUCUCUAUUCCACUCUUUUUGGCUCUCUCUCCCUCCUUCUCGCUCUCUGUCUCUCUCAUUCUAUUUCACUGUUCUCUCUCUUUUUUCUUUCUCUCCCUCUGUUUCUAUCUCCCACUCUUUUUUUUGCUCUCUCUCCCUCCUCACUCUGUCUCUCUUCUUUCAUCGUUUCUUUCUCUUUCUCUCCCUCUGUUUCUGUCUCCCACUCUUUUUUACUUUCUGUCCCUCCUCAGUCUCUUUCUCUCUCAUUCUCUUUAACUGUUUCUUUCUUUCUCUCCCUCUGUUCCUCUUUGUCACCCACUCUCUUUUGCUCUCUCCCUCCUUCUCACUCUCUGUUUCUCUCCUUCUCUUUCACUGUUUCCUUCUUUCUCUCCCACUGUUUCUCCAUCUCUCCCUCCUUGUCACUAUCUCUCUCAUUCUCUUUUACUGUUUCUUUCUUACUUUCCCUGUUUUUGACUGUCUCCCACUCUUUUUUGCUCUCUCUC